GGACGAACGCUGGCGGCGUGCCUAAUACAUGCAAGUCGAGCGGACAGAUGGGAGCUUGCUCCCUGAUGUUAGCGGCGGACGGGUGAGUAACACGUGGGUAACCUGCCUGUAAGACUGGGAUAACUCCGGGAAACCGGGGCUAAUACCGGAUGGUUGUUUGAACCGCAUGGUUCAAACAUAAAAGGUGGCUUCGGCUACCACUUACAGAUGGACCCGCGGCGCAUUAGCUAGUUGGUGAGGUAAUGGCUCACCAAGGCAACGAUGCGUAGCCGACCUGAGAGGGUGAUCGGCCACACUGGGACUGAGACACGGCCCAGACUCCUACGGGAGGCAGCAGUAGGGAAUCUUCCGCAAUGGACGAAAGUCUGACGGAGCAACGCCGCGUGAGUGAUGAAGGUUUUCGGAUCGUAAAGCUCUGUUGUUAGGGAAGAACAAGUACCGUUCGAAUAGGGCGGCACCUUGACGGUACCUAACCAGAAAGCCACGGCUAACUACGUGCCAGCAGCCGCGGUAAUACGUAGGUGGCAAGCGUUGUCCGGGAAUUAUUGGGCGUAAAGGGCUCGCAGGCGGUUUCUUAAGUCUGAUGUGAAAGCCCCCGGCUCAACCGGGGAGGGUCAUUGGAAACUGGGGAACUUGAGUGCAGAAGAGGAGAGUGGAAUUCCACGUGUAGCGGUGAAAUGCGUAGAGAUGUGGAGGAACACCAGUGGCGAAGGCGACUCUCUGGUCUGUAACUGACGCUGAGGAGCGAAAGCGUGGGGAGCGAACAGGAUUAGAUACCCUGGUAGUCCACGCCGUAAACGAUGAGUGCUAAGUGUUAGGGGGUUUCCGCCCCUUAGUGCUGCAGCUAACGCAUUAAGCACUCCGCCUGGGGAGUACGGUCGCAAGACUGAAACUCAAAGGAAUUGACGGGGGCCCGCACAAGCGGUGGAGCAUGUGGUUUAAUUCGAAGCAACGCGAAGAACCUUACCAGGUCUUGACAUCCUCUGACAAUCCUAGAGAUAGGACGUCCCCUUCGGGGGCAGAGUGACAGGUGGUGCAUGGUUGUCGUCAGCUCGUGUCGUGAGAUGUUGGGUUAAGUCCCGCAACGAGCGCAACCCUUGAUCUUAGUUGCCAGCAUUCAGUUGGGCACUCUAAGGUGACUGCCGGUGACAAACCGGAGGAAGGUGGGGAUGACGUCAAAUCAUCAUGCCCCUUAUGACCUGGGCUACACACGUGCUACAAUGGACAGAACAAAGGGCAGCGAAACCGCGAGGUUAAGCCAAUCCCACAAAUCUGUUCUCAGUUCGGAUCGCAGUCUGCAACUCGACUGCGUGAAGCUGGAAUCGCCAGUAAUCGCAGAUCAGCUAUGCUGCGGUGAAUACGUUCCCGGGCCUUG
Molecule: ribosomal RNA, 1375 nt
Filed under: Bacillus sp. K2F13
Lineage: Bacteria; Bacillati; Bacillota; Bacilli; Caryophanales; Bacillaceae
Description: bacterial SSU rRNA
Rfam family: Bacterial small subunit ribosomal RNA
Source: RNAcentral